RNAcentral lists this ribosomal RNA (402 nucleotides) under Acanthamoeba sp. RNAcentral describes it as "SSU rRNA". It matches the Rfam family "Eukaryotic small subunit ribosomal RNA", at positions 762 to 1113 of the family's 1831-position model. The record is from RNAcentral. Lineage: Eukaryota; Discosea; Longamoebia; Acanthamoebidae.
AAAAUUAGAGUGUUCAAAGCAGGCAGAUUCAAUUUUCUGCCACCGAAUACAUUAGCAUGGGAUAAUGGAAUAGGACCCUGUCCUCCUAUCUUCAGUUGGUUAACUUGUAGAGGAUCAGGGUAAUGAUUAAUAGGGAUAGUUGGGGGCAUUAAUAUUUAAUUGUCAGAGGUGAAAUUCUUGGAUUUAUGAAAGAUUAACUUCUGCGAAAGCAUCUGCCAAGGAUGUUUUCAUUAAUCAAGAACGAAAGUUAGGGGAUCGAAGACGAUCAGAUACCGUCGUAGUCUUAACCAUAAACGAUGCCGACCAGCGAUUAGGAGACGUUGAAUACAAAACACCACCAUGUAUAAUUCAGUACAUGACCAGUCAAAUGGUUGUGUAUUGUUUGUAUAUGGCACCGGUGAA